RNAcentral lists this long non-coding RNA (271 nucleotides) under Phaseolus vulgaris (common bean). Its description in RNAcentral is "long non-coding RNA (PVUL_LNC004302)". The record is from RNAcentral. Lineage: Eukaryota; Viridiplantae; Streptophyta; Magnoliopsida; Fabales; Fabaceae.
CGCCCCUCUCGAGUUCCAGAACACCAAGCUCAUGACCCGUCUCACCUACACCCUCGACGAGAUCGAGGGUCCCUUCGAGGUUACACCUGACGGAACGGUCAAAUUCGAGGAGAAAGACGGGAUCGACUAUGCUGCUGUGACGGUUCAGCUUCCCGGGGGUGAGCGUGUGCCGUUCCUCUUCACCAUCAAACAGUUGGUGGCCACUGGGAAGCCAGAAAGCUUCAGUGGGGACUUCCUUGUUCCCUCUUACCGAGGUUCCUCUUUCUUGGAC